RNAcentral lists this long non-coding RNA (1048 nucleotides) under Mus musculus (house mouse). RNAcentral describes it as "long non-coding RNA chr6:125246423-125247471". Lineage: Eukaryota; Metazoa; Chordata; Mammalia; Rodentia; Muridae. The record is from RNAcentral.
UGUGUGAAAUAGAGUUCAUGAUACAAUAAAGCUGUAAAUUAUGUUUUAAGAUUUUUGAGUGAAGAAAAAAAUUAAAAUUUAUAGAUAAGACUCAAUAUCUUUAUUCCUCCUUUUUUUUCUCUCUCUCUUUUUAUUUUUCCUUUCUUUGAGUUAGGUAGGCUCUUCUGUAGCCCAGGCUGGCCUUGAACUCACGAUAUAGUCAGUGCCAGUCAGUACCUGGAGCUCCUGAUCAUUCUACCUGCAGCUCCUUUAUGCUGGGAUUAUGGGUGUGUGCCGCCAUGCCUGCUGCUCGUUCCCUUGGUUGGUCUUCUCUGUCUCCUUCCUCAGUUUUGGUUCUCGGUCUGCUUCUGUAGAUGCAAGCAAGCCCUGACUCGGGAGUACUCGUCCAGUGUUCUCUAGACACAUACAUACAGAUGCAUGUUUUUAGAGUCUAGUGUAUGCAGCCAGGCAUGCAGAUGUGUGCUAGAGUGUGUGCUCAGGAGGUAGAGGCAAGAGGAUAAAUCGUUCAAAGUCAUAAUUGUCUAUAAAAUAAGUUCAAAGUCGGCCUGGCUCACAUGGUAACCUGUCUGCCAAAAAAAAAAAAAUUAUUUUAGGGAUAUUCUUGGCUAAAAAUAAGGGAUUGGACUCAGGUUGUCAGGCGUGGCAGGAGCGCCUUUUCAGCAGAGCCGUUCCAACAGCCUGUGUUUUGGUUCUUUGAGGCAGGGUCUCGUGUAGCCCAGGCUGGCUACAACUUGCUGUGUAACUAAGACUGACCUUGAACUCUUGUUCUUCUGGCCUCUACCUUCCAAGUGUUCUGAUUAUAAGGGUGUGCCAUCCUACAGCACCGACUUUCCCUUCCUUAUUUGAGGCAUGACAGUCACCUCUGUUCUCUGAAGGAAACAUCAAAUAAAGUUGUUAUUACUCUCUGAACACAGCCAGAAAUAGAACCUGAAGAAGAAAUCCUCUGUGAGUCUUUCCACUGUUUAAAAAUUUCCCUCUGGAAACAAAACAGCUUCUGUCUGACAGACACAGGCUCUUUGUCUUCAAAUAAACUCUUUUUGUUAUUGUC